RNAcentral lists this ribosomal RNA (406 nucleotides) under uncultured bacterium. RNAcentral describes it as "partial 16S ribosomal RNA". It matches the Rfam family "Bacterial small subunit ribosomal RNA", at positions 29 to 526 of the family's 1533-position model. The record is from RNAcentral.
AUUGAACGCUGGCGGCAGGCCUAACACAUGCAAGUCGAACGAGGGGCGGACGGGUGAGUAAUGUCUGGGACACUGCCCGAUGGAGGGGGAUAACUACUGGAAACGGUAGCUAAUACCGCAUCCCAUCGGAUGGGCCCAGAUGGGAUUAGCGAGUAGGUGGGGUAACGGCUCACCUAGGCGACGAUCCCUAGCUGGUCUGAGAGGAUGAACAGCCACACUGGAACGGAGACCCGGUCCAGACUCCUACGGUAGGCAGCAGUGGGGAAUAUUGCACAAUGGGCGCAAGCCUGAUGCAGCCAUGCCGCGUGUAUGAAGAAGGCCUUCGGGUUGUAAAGUACUUUCAGCGGGGAGGCGUUACCCGCAGAAGAAGCACCGGCUAACUCCGUGCCAGCAGCCGCGGUAAUAC